This 252-nucleotide ribosomal RNA is filed under the name uncultured prokaryote. Its description in RNAcentral is "partial 16S ribosomal RNA". It matches the Rfam family "Bacterial small subunit ribosomal RNA", at positions 526 to 777 of the family's 1533-position model. The record is from RNAcentral.
CGGAGGAUGCGAGCGUUAUCCGGAUUUAUUGGGUUUAAAGGGUGCGUAGGCGGCUUUUUAAGUCAGCGGUGAAGUUUUGCAGCUUAACUGUAACAGUGCCGUUGAUAUUGGGGAGCUAGGAUUUGGUUGCUGUGGCUGGAAUGUGUGGUGUAGCGGUGAAAUGCUUAGAGAUCACACAGAAUAUCGAUUGCGAAGGCAGCUCACAAAGCCAAGAUUGACGCUGAGGCACGAAAGUGUGGGGAUCAAACAGGA